AGUAAGUAAUUCCCUUUCUUCCUGAAACGGAUGUUCAUAUCAGGAGAUCGAUUUGCGAAAAAAUUUAUGUAUAAACAAAAGGAUUACUACCUACUGAGAGAGUGCAUCAACGCACCUCCUUUUCAAAUCGGAUUUAUCUUCAUCGGCGUCGUCUCCAGGUCAGGAUUAUCGAUGCCAACUGAGGUUGAAGAUGAGCGAUCCAUACGAUCUGUGUUCCAUUCUGGAUGAAUUGAAAUGUUAUCCCUUUCUUCGAUCUUGACGUAGGAUCCAUUAGCGUCGGGAGAUCCAUUAAUGUUGCUGCGAUGACCUUGGAUUUGAUGAUUAUGAGCACCUUUGUAUAUGAUUUCAGUAAUAUGCCCAUCAUGGGAACGUUCCACUUUUUUCUUGACUUGACAAUUUGGAUGUGUGCAUUUGUAAUAGCUUCGAGGGUAUUCACUGCCUUUUA
Non-coding RNA from Lactuca sativa (garden lettuce), 445 nucleotides. NCBI's taxonomy places the organism in Eukaryota, Viridiplantae, Streptophyta, Magnoliopsida, Asterales, Asteraceae. The record is from RefSeq and is a predicted model, not a curated record.